AGUUCGGACUGUAGGCUGCAACUCGCCUACACAAGUUGGAAUUGCUAGUAAUCGUGGAUCAGCAUGCCACGGUGAAUACGUUCCCGGGUCUUGUACACACCGCCCGUCACACCAUGGGAGCUGGUAACACCCGAAGUCAGUAGUCUAACCGCAAGGAGGACGCUGCCGAAGGUGGGAUUAGCGACUGGGGUGAAGUCGUAACAAGGUAAC
RNAcentral lists this ribosomal RNA (210 nucleotides) under uncultured bacterium. Its description in RNAcentral is "partial 16S ribosomal RNA". It matches the Rfam family "Bacterial small subunit ribosomal RNA", at positions 1290 to 1500 of the family's 1533-position model. The record is from RNAcentral.